This 433-nucleotide ribosomal RNA is filed under the name uncultured bacterium. Its description in RNAcentral is "partial 16S ribosomal RNA". It matches the Rfam family "Bacterial small subunit ribosomal RNA", at positions 29 to 507 of the family's 1533-position model. The record is from RNAcentral.
AACGAACGCUGGCGGCAUGCCUAACACAUGCAAGUCGAACGAGACCUUCGGGUCUAGUGGCGCACGGGUGCGUAACGCGUGGGAACCUGCCCUUAGGUUCGGAAUAACUCCCCGAAAGGGGUGCUAAUACCGGAUAAUGUCUUCGGACCAAAGAUUUAUCGCCUUUGGAUGGGCCCGCGUUGGAUUAGCUAGUUGGUAGGGUAAAAGCCUACCAAGGCGACGAUGCAUAGCUGGUCGGAGAGGAUGAUCAGCCACACUGGGACUGAGACACGGCCCAGACUCCUACGGGAGGCAGCAGUGGGGAAUAUUGGACAAUGGGCGAAAGCCUGAUCCAGCAAUGCCGCGUGAGUGAUGAAGGCCUUAGGGUUGUAAAGCUCUUUUACCCGGGAUGAUAAUGACAGUACCGGGAGAAGAAGCUCCGGCUAACUCCGUG